RNAcentral lists this ribosomal RNA (328 nucleotides) under uncultured bacterium. RNAcentral describes it as "bacterial SSU rRNA". It matches the Rfam family "Bacterial small subunit ribosomal RNA", at positions 28 to 355 of the family's 1533-position model. The record is from RNAcentral.
GACGAACGCUGGCGGCGUGCUUAACACAUGCAAGUCGAGCGGUAAGGCCCUUUCGGGGGUACACGAGCGGCGAACGGGUGAGUAACACGUGGGUGACCUGCCCUUAGCUCUGGGAUAAGCCUGGGAAACUGGGUCUAAUACCGGAUAUGACUCCAUGACGCAUGUUGUGGGGUGGAAAGCCUUGUGCGGCUAGGGAUGGGCCCGGCGGCCUAUCAGCUUGUUGGUGGGGUGAUGGCCUACCAAGGCGACGACGGGUAGCCGGCCUGAGAGGGCGACCGGCCACACUGGGGACUGAGACACGGCCCAGACUCCUACGGGAGGCAGCAGU